CGAGUCUUAACUGGGCGAAUGAGUUGCAGGGUAUAGACCCGAAACCCGGUGAUCUAUCCAUGGGCAGGUUGAAGGUUGGGUAACACUAACUGGAGGACCGAACCGACUAAUGUUGAAAAAUUAGCGGAUGACUUGUGGAUGGGGGUGAAAGGCCAAUCAAACCGGGAGAUAGCUGGUUCUCCCCGAAAGCUAUUUAGGUAGCGCCUCGUGAACUCAUCUUCGGGGGUAGAGCACUGUUUCGACUAGGGGGUCAUCCCGACUUACCAACUCGAUGCAAACUGCGAAUACCGAAGAAUGUUAUCACGGGAGACACACGGCGGGUGCUAACGUCCGUCGUGAAGAGGGAAACAACCCAGACCGCCAGCUAAGGUCCCAAAGUCAUGGUUAAGUGGGAAACGAAGUGGGAAGGCUCAGACAGCCAGGAUGUUGGCUUAGAAGCAGCCAUCAUUUAAAGAAAGCGUAAUAGCUCACUGGUCGAGUCGGCCCGCGCGGAAGAUGUAACGGGGCUAAACCAUGCACCGAAGCUGCGGCAGCGACACAAAGUGUUGUUGGGUAGGGGAGCGUUCUGUAAGCCUGCGAAGGUGUACUGUGAGGUAUGCUGGAGGUAUCAGAAGUGCGAAUGCUGACAUAAGUAACGAUAAUGCGGGUGAAAAACCCGCACGCCGGAAGACCAAGGGUUCCUGUCCAACGUUAAUCGGGGCAGGGUGAGUCGACCCCUAAGGCGAGGCUGAAAAGCGUAGUCGAUGGGAAACGGGUUAAUAUUCCCGUACUGGUGGUAACUGCGAUGGGGGAACGGAGAAGGCUAGGUUGUCCGGGCGACGGUCGUCCCGGUUCAAGCAGGUAGGCAGAGUGAUUAGGCAAAUCCGGUCACUU
This 873-nucleotide ribosomal RNA is filed under the name Proteus mirabilis. Its description in RNAcentral is "partial 23S ribosomal RNA". It matches the Rfam family "Bacterial large subunit ribosomal RNA", at positions 678 to 1551 of the family's 2925-position model. Lineage: Bacteria; Pseudomonadati; Pseudomonadota; Gammaproteobacteria; Enterobacterales; Morganellaceae. The record is from RNAcentral.